AAUAGAUACCCGGGUAGUCCAUGCCGUAAACGUUGGGCACUAGGUGUGGGGGACAUUCCACGUUUUCCGCGCCGUAGCUAACGCAUUAAGUGCCCCGCCUGGGGAGUACGGCCGCAAGGCUAAAACUCAAAGGAAUUGACGGGGGCCCGCACAAGCGGCGGAGCAUGCGGAUUAAUUCGAUGCAACGCGAAGAACCUUACCAAGGCUUGACAUGUGCCAGACCGCUCCAGAGAUGGGGUUUCCCUUCGGGGCUGGUUCACAGGUGGUGCAUGGUUGUCGUCAGCUCGUGUCGUGAGAUGUUGGGUUAAGUCCCGCAACGAGCGCAACCCUCGUUCCAUGUUGCCAGCACGUAGUGGUGGGGACUCAUGGGAGACUGCCGGGGUCAACUCGGAGGAAGGUGGGGAUGACGUCAAAUCAUCAUGCCCCUUAUGUCUUGGGCUUCACGCAUGCUACAAUGGCUGGUACAAUGGGUUGCGAUACUGUGAGGUGGAGCUAAUCCCUAAAAGCCGGUCUCAGUUCGGAUUGGGGUCUGCAACUCCG
This 540-nucleotide ribosomal RNA is filed under the name uncultured bacterium. RNAcentral's name for it is "bacterial SSU rRNA". It matches the Rfam family "Bacterial small subunit ribosomal RNA", at positions 777 to 1314 of the family's 1533-position model. The record is from RNAcentral.